Non-coding RNA from Coturnix japonica (Japanese quail), 1080 nucleotides. The record is from RefSeq and is a predicted model, not a curated record. NCBI's taxonomy places the organism in Eukaryota, Metazoa, Chordata, Aves, Galliformes, Phasianidae.
AUUUUUAGUUCUUACCCAAAGCAAGCCACACCUCUGAGCAUUGUAGGAGUGGGGAUGGGUUCAGCAUGUCUCCAUCCUUUCUUAAUCCUUUCACUGAUGUACUCAUUAGUGCUGGCACAGCGAUCAUCUGAUGCAUUCUCUUCCCUCCCAAGCACUUCCUUAAGCUCAGCAUUCACAUCCGUGCUGAACUAGGAGCCCAGCAGCGGGGACUCUCAAACGCUUGCCGGGUGCUGCCCAGCCAUGCUCCUGUUUGUGGCUGCUGGAUGCAGAGUCUCACGCGCUCCCUGCAGCUAACCACAUCUUUGUCGCCAGCCCUCAGUAAAAGCUGCAGAGUCAGGAACCGCGCCUUGCUUGAUAGUGCAUGAAAAUAGCCCCUCAAGUACAAGCCGCAGCGAUCGACAUGCUUUGUAUUCCCUGGCCAGAAAUAACUCUGCCAACAGCAGACUCAGAAGCUGUGAGACAGUUUCCUGGAGAUAAGAGAUAAAUCGGAGGGAAACCUGGCAAAAAGAUGAUGGUCAAGCUGCAAGAUAUCAUUUCCUCCAAAGCCCGUACAUACUAAUUAACCAUUCCAAGCAUAUUUUCAACAGCAUUUAGGGAUUUCCUCAUCAAAAUAAACUUCCUCCCAUGUUAUCUUCAUUUUUGACAUCCGGUGCUACGGUCUGAUAGAAGAAUCAGGGUUAGAAUUCUUAGUAUUGGGUUGUGUAUGUGUUUCUGUGUGUGUAUAUGCACAAGCACCCCCCACACACACAUACACGCACACGAUUGAAGCUUUGCCAGUAUUACUUAGGAAUUUUAAUGCCUCCUCCAAAGUCCUCUGUAGUCAGCAAGAGAUUUUCUGUUAACUUCAGUAGUAGCAGUAUCGAGCCUCUAUCCUUCCGCAACCAGAUUUUUUCAUUUAUGCCUUAUGACUUGUUUAUAACAAACUACAGAUGGGCUUGAGUCAUAAAGUUCAGAGUAUUUGGUUUAGAGGUUUUGCUUUGGGCCCAUCCCUUUAAUGUACUGCUUAUUCCAGACCUGCCUUUUAAAAGGAAAAUAUUGUCAGAAUGAAAGUGUAUGUGCAAUAAACAAACUUCUCAUUUC